AGCGGCGCACGGGUGAGUAACGCGUACACGACCUACCUCUAACAGGGGGAUAGCCCUGGGAAACUGGGAUUAAUACCGCAUAUUAUUCUGAAUAAUAAAGGUUUGGAAUGAAAGCUGAGGCGGUUAGAGAUGGGUGUGCGUCUGAUUAGCUAGUUGGUAGGGUAACGGCCUACCAAGGCGAUGAUCAGUAGGGGGCGUGAGAGCGUGGUCCCCCACACGGGUACUGAGACACGGACCCGACUCCUACGGGAGGCAGCAGUAAGGAAUAUUGGUCAAUGGGCGAAAGCCUGAACCAGCCAUCCAGCGUGCAGGAAGAAGGCCCUAUGGGUUGUAAACUGCUUUUAUCAGGGAAGAAACCUCUGGAUUUACUCCGGAGCUGACGGUACCUGAAGAAUAAGCACCGGCUAACUCCGUGCCAGCAGCCGCGGUAAUACGGAGGGUGCGAGCGUUAUCCGGAAUUACUGGGUUUAAAGGGUGCGUAGGCGGCUUUGUAAGUCAGGAGUGAAAGUUUGCGGCUCAACCGUAAAAUUGCUUUUGAUACUGCAGAGCUAGAAUCAGGAUGAGGUUAGCGGAAUGUGGCAUGUAGCGGUGAAAUGCAUAGAUAUGCCAUAGAACACCAAUUGCGAAGGCAGCUGGCUAGACCUGCAUUGGCGCUGAGGCACGAAAGCGUGGGGAGCGAACAGGAUUAGAUACCCUGGUA
Molecule: ribosomal RNA, 700 nt
Filed under: uncultured bacterium
Lineage: Bacteria
Description: bacterial SSU rRNA
Rfam family: Bacterial small subunit ribosomal RNA
Source: RNAcentral